CCUACGGGCGGCAGCAGUGGGGAAUAUUGGACAAUGGGGGCAACCCUGAUCCAGCCAUGCCGCGUGUGUGAAGAAGGCCCUCGGGUUGUAAAGCACUUUCAGUGAGGAAGAACGCCUGGUGGUUAAUACCCAUCAGGAAAGACAUCACUCACAGAAGAAGCACCGGCUAACUCCGUGCCAGCAGCCGCGGUAAUACGGAGGGUGCGAGCGUUAAUCGGAAUUACUGGGCGUAAAGCGCGCGUAGGUGGCUUGAUAAGCCGGUUGUGAAAGCCCCGGGCUCAACCUGGGAACGGCAUCCGGAACUGUCAAGCUAGAGUGCAGGAGAGGAGGGUAGAAUUCCCGGUGUAGCGGUGAAAUGCGUAGAGAUCGGGAGGAAUACCAGUGGCGAAGGCGGCCUUCUGGACUGACACUGACACCGAGGUGCGAAAGCGUGGGUAGCAAACAGGAUUAGAUACCCUAGUAGUC
RNAcentral lists this ribosomal RNA (465 nucleotides) under Vreelandella stevensii. Its description in RNAcentral is "partial 16S ribosomal RNA". It matches the Rfam family "Bacterial small subunit ribosomal RNA", at positions 338 to 795 of the family's 1533-position model. The record is from RNAcentral. Lineage: Bacteria; Pseudomonadati; Pseudomonadota; Gammaproteobacteria; Oceanospirillales; Halomonadaceae.